AGCAUGUGGUUUAAUUCGAAGAUACACGAAGAACCUUACCUGGCCUUGACAUGGUAGGAACCUUAAGAGAUUAGGGGUGCUAGCUUGCUAGAACCUACACACAGGUGCUGCACGGCUGUCGUCAGCUCGUGUCGUGAGAUGUUGGGUUAAGUCCCGCAACGAGCGCAACCCUCGUCCUUAGUUGCUAACAGUUCGGCUGAGCACUCUAGGGAGACUGCCUUCGCAAGGAGGAGGAAGGUGAGGACGACGUCAAGUCAUCAUGGCCCUUACGGCCAGGGCUACACACGUGCUACAAUGGGGCGUACAGAGAGCUGCGAUACCGCGAGGUGGAGCCAAUCUCUUAAAGCGUCUCUCAGUUCGGAUUGUUCUCUGCAACUCGAGAACAUGAAGCUGGAAUCACUAGUAAUCGCAGAUCAGCUAUGCUGCGGUGAAUACGUUCCCGGGUCUU
Molecule: ribosomal RNA, 448 nt
Filed under: uncultured Sulfuricurvum sp.
Lineage: Bacteria; Pseudomonadati; Campylobacterota; Epsilonproteobacteria; Campylobacterales; Sulfurimonadaceae
Description: bacterial SSU rRNA
Rfam family: Bacterial small subunit ribosomal RNA
Source: RNAcentral